Molecule: ribosomal RNA, 822 nt
Filed under: uncultured Acidobacteriota bacterium
Lineage: Bacteria; Pseudomonadati; Acidobacteriota
Description: bacterial SSU rRNA
Rfam family: Bacterial small subunit ribosomal RNA
Source: RNAcentral
AGAGUUUGAUCCUGGCUCAGAAUCAACGCUGGCGGCGUGCCUAACACAUGCAAGUCGAACGAGAAAGUGGGGGCAACUCCAUGAGUACAGUGGCAGACGGGUGAGUAACACGUGAACAACCUACCCUCGAGUGGGGAAUAACACCGCGAAAGCGGUGCUAAUACCGCAUAACAUCUCCGGGUCGCAUGGUCUGGAGAUCAAAAGCGAAAGUUGCUUGAGGAGGGGUUCGCGCCUGAUUAGCUAGUUGGUGAGGUAACGGCCCAUCAAGGCAACGAUCAGUAGCCGGCCUGAGAGGGCGAACGGCCACACUGGAACUGAGACACGGUCCAGACUCCUACGGGAGGCAGCAGUGGGGAAUUUUGCGCAAUGGGCGAAAGCCUGACGCAGCAACGCCGCGUGGAGGAUGAAGGCCUUCGGGUCGUAAACUCCUGUCAGUGGGGACGAAAGCCUCGCAAGAGGUCUGACUGUACCCGCUGAGGAAGCCACGGCUAACUCCGUGCCAGCAGCCGCGGUAAUACGGAGGUGGCAAGCGUUGUUCGGAAUUACUGGGCGUAAAGGGCGCGUAGGCGGCUUGGCAAGUCAGAUGUGAAAGCCCCGGGCUCAACUCGGGAAUUGCAUCUGAAACUGCUUUGCUUGAGUCCUGGAGGGGAUAGUGGAAUUCCCAGUGUAGCGGUGAAAUGCGUAGAUAUUGAGAGGAACACCUGCGGCGAAGGCGGCUAUCUGGACAGUGACUGACGCUGAGGCGCGAAAGCUAGGGGAGCGAACGGGAUUAGAUACACCGGUAGUCCUAGCUGUAAACGAUGAGCACUUGGUGUUGGGAGA